Molecule: unclassified non-coding RNA, 25 nt
Filed under: Mus musculus (house mouse)
Lineage: Eukaryota; Metazoa; Chordata; Mammalia; Rodentia; Muridae
Description: oocyte_clustered_small_RNA11020
Source: RNAcentral
UGGAAAGUUUGUUAAGAGCUCUGUC